CACAACAAUUUGUCUUUUAAUUGAAGAAUGGUAUGAAAGGGUUAACGUGGGAUAAGCUGUGUCAAAAUAAUGUUAUCAAAAUUAAUUUUUGCGUGAAGAAGCGUGAAUUUCUUAGAGUGACGAUUAGACCCUAUGAAGUUUAACCUGAAGUUAUCCUAUGUGCCGGAAAGAUUGGAACAAGUUUUCUAAUAGAUUUCGGCAAACUACAAUGGUUUUGGUGGGGCCCCAGUCUUAGUAAGUGUAAGGCAUUGCACAGGUUUUGUGCGUUUGUAUUUUAAAGUGUUGUAAGUUUUUAAUAAUAAUUUCUUACUUGAGUUAGCUAUAUUUUAUAAGUUUGAUAAACUACUCUAGGGAUAACAGCACAAUCCUCUUCGAUAGACGACAUUGAAAAGGGGGU
This 397-nucleotide ribosomal RNA is filed under the name Arcuatula senhousia (Asian date mussel). Its description in RNAcentral is "partial large subunit ribosomal RNA". Lineage: Eukaryota; Metazoa; Mollusca; Bivalvia; Mytilida; Mytilidae. The record is from RNAcentral.